GCAUGGAUGAAUUCUGCAUUGGCUUUUAUAAUAGCUAAUGGAGUCAGACACCAUGCAAGAGCAAAUUUUCUGUCUCAGACGUUCAUAAUGGCAUGCUGUGUGUCAGGCAGGAUGUCCGUGUCAGAAAUAGAUACACAU
Small nucleolar RNA from Eublepharis macularius, 138 nucleotides. RefSeq annotates it as small nucleolar RNA SNORA15. The transcript has a single exon. NCBI's taxonomy places the organism in Eukaryota, Metazoa, Chordata, Lepidosauria, Squamata, Eublepharidae. The record is from RefSeq and is a predicted model, not a curated record.